Molecule: transfer RNA, 69 nt
Filed under: Rattus norvegicus (Norway rat)
Lineage: Eukaryota; Metazoa; Chordata; Mammalia; Rodentia; Muridae
Rfam family: tRNA
About the family: Transfer RNA (tRNA) molecules are approximately 80 nucleotides in length. Their secondary structure includes four short double-helical elements and three loops (D, anti-codon, and T loops). Further hydrogen bonds mediate the characteristic L-shaped molecular structure. tRNAs have two regions of fundamental functional importance: the anti-codon, which is responsible for specific mRNA codon recognition, and the 3' end, to which the tRNAs corresponding amino acid is attached (by aminoacyl-tRNA synthetases). tRNAs cope with the degeneracy of the genetic code in two manners: having more than one tRNA (with a specific anti-codon) for a particular amino acid; and 'wobble' base-pairing, i.e. permitting non-standard base-pairing at the 3rd anti-codon position.
Source: Rfam by way of RNAcentral
GGGGAUUUAGCUUAGUGGUAGAGCGCUUGCCUAGCAAGCGCAAGGCCCUGGGUUCGGUCCCCAGCCCCG